ACGCAUGAGAGGAGGUGAUCGGGUACAUGAGUGAAACCCGGACGCGCGAGGUGGCUGCGGGCUAGCGGCUCGCCACCACACCUAGUGCGGUGCCGGACCAGCGUGUGCGCGAAACACGCAGCCGGCCCAAACCAACGCAGUCACCCGACCCGCGAGCUCGCCGGUAACGUCCGGCCGGCUCCCCAGCCGUCAGGCGGGGGAACCCGAGUUCGCGGGUCGUCUGCG
Molecule: small RNA, 225 nt
Filed under: Streptomyces lincolnensis
Lineage: Bacteria; Bacillati; Actinomycetota; Actinomycetes; Kitasatosporales; Streptomycetaceae
Description: Actinobacteria sRNA Ms_IGR-5
Rfam family: Actinobacteria sRNA Ms_IGR-5
Source: Rfam by way of RNAcentral